AACUCUCGAAUUCCAAUGAGGGAUAUGGAAUUUGCCAAAAAUAGUGGGUGGUGCUAUUUGAUUUAAAGACCCAAAUCAAAUGGCUUAAAAUCAAUCAAUUUAUAUUCGUUAUGUAUUUGUUUACCAAUAUAUUUGCAAACGCUAUCCAACACUUGACAAAUAAAAACCGAAAGCUUUAGUUUCCGGACUUGGUACUACAAAACCAUAGAUUGUCUUUAAUGGCUUGUAAAUGU
Molecule: long non-coding RNA, 233 nt
Filed under: Malus domestica (apple)
Lineage: Eukaryota; Viridiplantae; Streptophyta; Magnoliopsida; Rosales; Rosaceae
Description: long non-coding RNA (MDOM_LNC001769)
Source: RNAcentral